ACGAACGCUGGCGGCGUGGAUAAGACAUGCAAGUCGGACGGAGAUCUUGAAUAGCUUGCUAAUUAAGAUCUUAGUGGCGGACGGGUUAGUAACACGUGAGAACCUACCCUUUAGACAGGAAUAGCCCAUGGAAACGUGGAUUAAUGCCUGAUAGUCUCUACGGAGUAAAUGGUGCCUUCGGGUACCGCUAGAGGAUGGGCUCGCGGCCUAUCAGCUUGUUGGUGAGGUAAAGGCUCACCAAGGCGACGACGGGUAGCUGGUCUGAGAGGACGAUCAGCAACACUGGAACUGAGACACGGUCCAGACACCUACGGGUGGCAGCAGUCGAGAAUCAUUCACAAUGGAGGCAACUCUGAUGGUGCAACGCCGCGUGGAGGAUGACGGUCCUAGGAUUGUAAACUCCUGUCAUUGGGGAGUAAGACUUAAGCGUUAAGAGCGUUUAAGUUUGAUAGUACCCAAAGAGGAAGGGACGGCUAACUUCGUGCC
Molecule: ribosomal RNA, 486 nt
Filed under: uncultured Planctomycetaceae bacterium
Lineage: Bacteria; Pseudomonadati; Planctomycetota; Planctomycetia; Planctomycetales; Planctomycetaceae
Description: bacterial SSU rRNA
Rfam family: Bacterial small subunit ribosomal RNA
Source: RNAcentral